Molecule: ribosomal RNA, 774 nt
Filed under: uncultured Neocallimastigales
Lineage: Eukaryota; Fungi; Neocallimastigomycota; Neocallimastigomycetes; Neocallimastigales
Description: partial large subunit ribosomal RNA
Rfam family: Eukaryotic large subunit ribosomal RNA
Source: RNAcentral
AGAGAUGUGUGAUGACGCAUAUCAAUAAGCGGAGGAAAAGAAACUAACAAGGAUUCCCUUAGUAACGGCGAGUGAAGCGGGAAGAGCUCAAAUUUGAAAUCUUCAAGGUUCUACCUUGACGAAUUGUAGUUUAAAGAAGUGUUUUCUGUUGGAGUUUUGGUAAAAGUUCUUUGGAAUAGGACAUCAUAGAGGGUGAGAAUCCCGUAUUUGACCAUUUCUUCCAGCUGUGUGAUACACUUUCAAAGAGUCGGAUUGUUUGGGAAUGCAGUCCAAAAUGGGUGGUAAAUUUCAUCUAAAGCUAAAUAUUGGCGAGAGACCGAUAGCGAACAAGUACCGUGAGGGAAAGAUGAAAAGAACUUUGAAAAGAGAGUUAAACAGUACGUGAAAUUGUCAAAAGGGAAGCGUUUGACACCAGUGUUGUUUUUCCGAAAAUCAAUUACGAAUGUUUUGUUUUUGAGAAGUUAUGACUUCAUCGGCUUGCUUUUCUCUUUACGAAACUUUCUUAAUGCACUUUUCGGUUAACAAGUCAACAUCAAUUUCUUUUGUUGUAAAAGGGUAUGAGGAAGGUGGCUUUCUUUUCGGAGAAAGUGUUUAUAGCCUUGUACCUCUGCAAUCGGAGAGAUUGAGGUCUGCAGCGUAGAUCCUUCGGGGUUAGAUACAUUUGUGCUAAGUUAUAGCUUUUCAUAGACAACUUGUUGACUAUGUUAAGUCUUGUAGCUUACUCGCUUACUGCUAUUUUACCUACGCUUAGGAUGUUACAGCAGUAUAGACUGU